UCUUGUUUCUGUAUUUUCAGUGAACUNAAAUAUAAUAUGCUGUAUUUUGUUCAAUUAGAACAAUAUAAUAUGGAAUGUUGUAACAUCCUUCAAGUAGAUCAAUGGAAUAUUUUUAUUAUUAUAUCCUCCAGUUGACCAAAUUUCUUGACACUGGACAACCAUAAACAUAGCAAACCAUGAUAAUUUUCCAGUCAAACAUAACACAAUAUUUACCAACAAAUGCAGGUGCACAAAACGCCCAUCAAAUUCAAGUGCAAUUACAUUGCUCCAGAUAAAAUCAUAUCCUAUCUUCUAAAUAGUCGGAAAACCAAAAUACUACAAAAUAAACUCCAACAUUUAUCAGAGAGAUUUGGCUUCUUCUAAACAGUUAGAAAAACAAAAUACGACAAAAUAAACUUCGACAUUUAUCAAAUAGAUUUGGUUGCUUCUGAACAACAUACAAAACAAAAUAUAUCCACAUUUUUAUCCCUGCAGAUGCUUUUGCAGCUUCUAAUCUCCAAGUCCCUCUUGGCUUCCAUGAACUUGUGAUUCCAUGAACUUUUGGUGCCUUUUGUUAUCUCCUUUUUUCCCCACAAAUAGAACACGUCAUGUACACAACACCUUUUUUUCUUACUUGUGAUUGUGAAUGUAUCUGUGACUGGGAUUGUCCAUCUUCAUCAGGUCCUUUUCUUCUCUCUCUUUUUUUUUUUUUUUUUUGCUUUCUUCCUACUAAAUUAACAUACCAGGGGAGAGGCAAGACAAGGGGAUGUACACAUUCAGGCCAUAACUCCUUACCAUUGAUGGGAUAUAUGACAUUCUCAUAUGUGCUCAUGUAGGUCUCAACCUUAUACCAGUCGGAGACAUAAUCUUUUAUCUCACGACCUAUAUCCAAAAUGCAAGCAAUGGCAUGUGGACAUGGAAUGCCAGAAAUCUACCAUCUCCUACAUGCACACGUUCUAUUAUCUAUGUCCACAACAAAUUCUCCAUACGAACACUCAACUUGAUAUUGGUUUAGCCCGUUCUAUCUCAAGAUACAUUCACGGGCUGCAUCACAGCACUUCUCCAACUUCUUUUGUAUUUUGGAACAUAUGGGUUUGUUGUAACUUCUUAACUGGUCCCUCUUCACCUGAAUUCUGUGCAUGAGUUUCAUCUGAACGCCUACCAACAUAUCUAUCAAUGAUUAUCCCUUUCUACCAAAAUAAAGUUGUUGAAGCAUUCAAGAGAUUAUUAAGGAGCAUUUCACACUUCGAUUGAUCUAAAAAAUGAGACCUACUCUAUUCGUUUGGCGACUUCUUUAUCAACCAUCCAUGUGCCUCCUUCUUCGCACUUUCAAUCUUAGCCAUCCAAUAUUUAAAAGAUGCUAAGUGACUAGAUUUUGCUGUACCCCACAAAUAGUCUUUCAAUUCCAUACCCUUAAAGUCACUCCUGAAGUAAUUCUGAUACAUAUGCCUAACACAAAAUCUAUGUUCGGCUUCCGGAAAUAAAUCAGCAAUAACAUUAAUCGAUCCCUUUUGUCUAUCACUGAUGAAGGUCACAAAUGGCCAAUUCUCCAUAGUAAGGUCUUCAGACAACAACAUCAAAAAUCACCUCCACGAACUAGUGCUCUCUCUCUCUACAAUCGCAUAUGCAAUCAGGUAAAUACAAUCAUUCGCAUCUACACCAACAGCUGCUAGCAGUUAACCACUAUAUUUUCCUCUCAAAAAACAUCCGUCAACACCAACAAAGCGUCUACACCCUUGUAAAAAAUCGUUCUUACAUGCCUCUAUACAGACAUAAAUACCCCUGAAAAUAUUAUCUACUUGAGAGAUAAGCACAGUUGAACCUACAUUUGUUCUCCUCAAUUCCGCAGCAUAGCACCCUAACAUCGCAAACUGGUUCUCAUUACUUCCCUUUACUAACAUUUUGGCGUAUUUUCUAGCAUUCGAAGCCACUCUCUUAGUGAUGUGCACUCCCAAAUCCUUUCUAACUGUAGCUCUGAUAUUUUUUGUCUUCCACUCAGGUUCGGAUCUGAAGUUAUUUAAAUAGUAGUUGGCCAACCAUUUAUAGGUUAGGUACUUAUUAGUACGUGCCUUAAAGCAAGUGUGCCUAGGGUCGUAUGUUUUGAUCUGGACCGUGUCUCGACCUUGUAUCUUCGAAGCCCACAACUUCCAUGGACAAUCAUUCUUGCAAACACAAUGCAAUCUAUUUUUCUCGUUGCGUUUGAAAGCUGGUUCAACUUGAUUGAAGACAUCAUAAUCCCUCACCACAGAUUUUAAUUCCUCAAAAUUCGCAAACAAUAACCCCACCUCAAGUUGAGGAUUCCUCUUUACACUACUAGCAAAAUAUUCUGGAAAAUUAGGUCUACCACUAUUCCCCUCUGAAUCCAAACCACUUAAGAAGUUUAACUUCUCUGACGAUGCAUACGAAGAGCUAUCUAAUUCUUGGCGUUCUUCGUGUUCCACAAUAUGCAUACCUAUUUCAAUGCCUUCGGUCACAUUACGAUCAAAUAGGCAAUCAUCAUCAUCAUAUACAUCGUAGUCCGAGUCAUUAAAAUCAGGGUCUUCAUCCACAAUCAUAAAAACAAAUACAUAAAUCCACAUAUCCAUAAAGUACAGAUAAACUAACUACAACAAAGGUUGAACCGUUCCAAUCCAACAGGCAAAAUAAACUACAGACAGAUGCAGGUUGUGAAUUUGGGACAAAAUGACUUUUAAUAUAGAUAAUGAUGAACAAGUUACAGGUUACUACUGGGGAUAAAAUGGCGUGCAAAUCUCCUUCAUUAAUAAAAUAAAAUAAAAAAACCCAAAUAAUAAGCAUUUCAAUGUUUGUGAGUCUAAAAAAAUCAACAAAUACCUGUAGAUUCAUGCUCAAAGCUAGCCAUGGUCACGAACUCAGUCAUGAACAGGUCACGAAAUUAGCCACUGACAGGUCCCGCUAUUUUGGAGUUUCUGGGCUCGCAAUUUUCCAGCUACUAUCUUCCAGUUUGGAGGCGCUGCUUGCCGGCGACGGUAAGAGGUAUGAGGAAUUCGAUAUUAGGGAAAAAAAAUAAGGAUUUGGGGUGUUUAAUUGAUGAAGAAUUGUCUGCCUUUUUUUUUCUGAGUUUUAAUUUUUUUUCCAAGUUUUAAAAAAGUUUUUUUUUUCCUCUUUGCAACUUAAAUUUUUUUUCCACCUCAAUAACAACUCUCUUAAUUGGCAAUGAAUUUGUGGACAACUUGCACAGGUCACCCUUCUGUUAGACAUGUGGCCAAAAUCGUCAAAUUUUACUAAUGGAAUGAAGUUGGUGAUGAAUGGGAUCCCAAAUGGCAAAGUUGAGUGACUAUCUAGA
RNAcentral lists this long non-coding RNA (3283 nucleotides) under Olea europaea subsp. europaea. The record is from RNAcentral. Lineage: Eukaryota; Viridiplantae; Streptophyta; Magnoliopsida; Lamiales; Oleaceae.